This 122-nucleotide transfer RNA is filed under the name Dothideomycetidae sp. 11243. RNAcentral's name for it is "fungal sp. No.11243 tRNA". It matches the Rfam family "tRNA". Rfam says of the family: Transfer RNA (tRNA) molecules are approximately 80 nucleotides in length. Lineage: Eukaryota; Fungi; Ascomycota; Dothideomycetes. The record is from Rfam by way of RNAcentral.
GGCGUGGUAGCAAAGUGGUUACUGCGUGUGACUAGAAUUUGAGGUCGGAUCAGUUCCAACUGAUCCCUUCAUCGUGCUAUCACAUUCCUUCGGGAGCGUAGGUUCGAGUCCUGCCCACGUCG